RNA transcript from Quercus robur (English oak), 992 nucleotides. It is a transcript of the gene named two-component response regulator-like APRR1, with no coding region annotated. The transcript has 4 exons. The record is from RefSeq and is a predicted model, not a curated record. Lineage: Eukaryota; Viridiplantae; Streptophyta; Magnoliopsida; Fagales; Fagaceae.
UGAUUUAUGGUUUCUGAAAAUACUAUAAAGAGACACACUAGAAAGGAUUAGAGUUCCUAGAGAACCUGUCAGGCCAAAGUAGACCUAACUGCUUGUUCUAACCAAACUUUUUGUUGGAUAGUAUGCGAUUAUGCUUAUAAAAUAUAGAGCUACUUUUGCAGGAAAACUUCUCUGAGCCUGUGUUUCUUUAGAUUGCAAUGGACAAGGGCAAAAAGAUUAUGAUCAAUAACAAUGGUGGACAUGCUGGUAGAGGUUGCAACAACAGUGCUAUGACUAGUGAUGCUUUUAAUAAUCAAAGUAAACUGAAAAUUUUGCUGUGUGACAGUGAUCCUGAGAGUUGUGAUGAGAUCUCCACCCUUCUAACCAAAUGCAGUUAUCAGGUAAUCUCAGUGAGCUCAUUUGUAGAAGUGGUUGAUACAUUGGAUGCUGAGGGGCCCCAUAUUGACAUCUUACUCGUUUCAGUUGACCCUCACAUAGACAAAGGCAUGAAAAUGUUGAAGUAUAUCAGUGAAGAAUUCCAACACAUUCCAGUGAUCAUCAGGGUUCUUGUUUUGUUCAGUAUUGUCUAGACAAGACCAUAUCUCUCUUAUUUACAAGUACUUAAAUCUUGGGGUGGCUGACUAUUUGAUGAAGCCUUUAUGCACCGACGAGCUAUCAAAUCUAUGGAAGCACAAGGGGAGGAGCCGGAAUAUGAUGAAAAAGUUACUGGGAAUUACAAAUGCAGAGUCAAGCCAGAUAAUCAGCAAGGGUAGCUGAGUGUUUUGUGCUGAGAAGUUUAGCAUACUCUGAGGGCAUCCUAUAAAUUAAAUGCUUCAGAAAAUUGUGCAUGUACACCCAUUCAUGAAAAUCUUGGGUUCAAUUGGAAGGGUAUAAGUUUGUAGUCUCUGGUUGUAGUCUAAUAUUAUAGCACCUCCUUUUAAAGCUUACAUUUCCCUUUGGAUGUUUUAAGCAUUAUCAUUUGACUUAAUUCGUGAAAUUCCUUUUGACAGCUA